RNAcentral lists this non-coding RNA (22 nucleotides) under Arabidopsis thaliana (thale cress). The record is from RNAcentral. Lineage: Eukaryota; Viridiplantae; Streptophyta; Magnoliopsida; Brassicales; Brassicaceae.
UUUGGGAUGCUGAAGCAACAUC